GAGGAUGUAGCUCAGUGGUAGAGCGCAUGCUUAGCAUGCAUGAGGUCCUGGGUUCAAUCCCCUGUCCCUCCA
Camelus ferus (Wild Bactrian camel) is the source of this 72-nucleotide non-coding RNA. Lineage: Eukaryota; Metazoa; Chordata; Mammalia; Artiodactyla; Camelidae. The record is from Rfam.